CCUGCUCUAUUGCUCUGUCCAUGCUACUACACAGCUCCCCUUCUGGUGUCUUGUGCAUCACCUUUCCUGCACUUCUAGGCAGGAUCGCUUCUUCCAGUGUCAUGUCUUCUUCCUGUUGGUUCCCAAGAAGUCUUGAGCUGGUCUCCACGAUAGUAUCUGGUGCUGGUAUCCCCUCCUUGGUGGUCAAGCUAUCUCUGUGUGCACCACCAUCCUGUUCCAGUGGGACUAGCUUUUCCAGCGUGCCCAUUGGUGUGUCCACAAGUCCUGCGAGGAGUUUGCAAGUGUGUUGAGCCCUGAUCAUCAUCUCCCUUGUUCCCUGCACAACCUCUUUGUGGAGAUCCAUGGC
RNAcentral lists this long non-coding RNA (346 nucleotides) under Selaginella moellendorffii. RNAcentral describes it as "long non-coding RNA (SMOE_LNC001782)". The record is from RNAcentral. Lineage: Eukaryota; Viridiplantae; Streptophyta; Lycopodiopsida; Selaginellales; Selaginellaceae.